This 468-nucleotide ribosomal RNA is filed under the name uncultured bacterium. RNAcentral describes it as "partial 16S ribosomal RNA". It matches the Rfam family "Bacterial small subunit ribosomal RNA", at positions 28 to 507 of the family's 1533-position model. The record is from RNAcentral.
GACGAACGCUGGCGGCGUGCUUAACACAUGCAAGUCGAACGGAAAGGCCCUGCUUUUGUGGGGUGCUCGAGUGGCGAACGGGUGAGUAACACGUGAGUAACCUGCCCUUGACUUUGGGAUAACUUCAGGAAACUGGGGCUAAUACCGGAUAGGAGCUCCUGCUGCAUGGUGGGGGUUGGAAAGUUUCGGCGGUUGGGGAUGGACUCGCGGCUUAUCAGCUUGUUGGUGGGGUAGUGGCUUACCAAGGCUUUGACGGGUAGCCGGCCUGAGAGGGUGACCGGGCACAGUGGGACUGAGAUACGGCCCAGACUCCUACGGGAGGCAGCAGUGGGGAAUAUUGCACAAUGGGCGGAAGCCUGAUGCAGCAACGCCGCGUGCGGGAUGACGGCCUUCGGGUUGGAAACCGCUUUCGCCUGUGACUAAGCGUGAGUGACGGUAAUGGGUAAAGAAGCACCGGCUAACUACGUG